UCUUUCUUAAAGAACACCAUUAUCGAAAUGAUGUCAUAUGGCUGGUUUUAAAAGUUUUCUGCAUGAUGUAUUGUGAAAUUCAAAACAAUUUUUAAAAGAAUAUUAUAAGCUUGUUAGUAAAACUCAUUUGUGUAUGUGACAAUUCUCUUUUAGCCCUGAAUAACUAUUUGCGCAGAUGCCAAUUAACAAAUUUGAAGUAUUAGGAUAAGGCUCAUUAUAAAUGUAGUGUUUUUCCAAAUUGAGUUGUGAUUCUAAUAGGCAAUGUAAUAGCUCUUGAAAUUCGAAUUAUUUUAUAAUAUUAACUGUAUGCAUAAAUUCGGAUUAAAUAUUUUGUGGUAUUAACUGUAUGUAUAAUUUCUUUAUAGUGAAUGAAUAUAAAAAAGCAGCAAGGCACACCUCUUAAUUUAUUUCCCAGCCCAAAGCACUUUCCCUAUCGUCUGUACAAAAAGUAGUGGUAGGGCAGUGCAGGAGCUUGCAGUCAGAUUUCCUUGGAUUGGUUUCCAGGGCCUACUAUUUACUUGCUAAAUGACUGUAGGCAGGUAUGUUCAUUGUCAUAAUCAAAGUAUCUCUGCCCUUAAACACAAAAAGAAGAUGAAUACAGACCAUUUUGUGUUCUCUGAAGGAAAUAAAGAUGAGUAAUUGGCGUACACAA
This 652-nucleotide small RNA is filed under the name Pan troglodytes (chimpanzee). RNAcentral describes it as "sense intronic". Lineage: Eukaryota; Metazoa; Chordata; Mammalia; Primates; Hominidae. The record is from RNAcentral.